Molecule: ribosomal RNA, 252 nt
Filed under: uncultured microorganism
Description: partial 16S ribosomal RNA
Rfam family: Bacterial small subunit ribosomal RNA
Source: RNAcentral
UACGUAGGUCCCGAGCGUUGUCCGGAUUUAUUGGGCGUAAAGCGUGCGCAGGUGGUUUAAUAAGUCUGAUGUAAAAGGCAGUGGCUCAACCAUUGUGUGCAUUGGAAACUGUUAGACUUGAGUGCAGUAGAGGAGAGUGGAAUUCCAUGUGUAGCGGUGAAAUGCGUAGAUAUAUGGAGGAACACCGGUGGCGAAAGCGGCUCUCUGGACUGUAACUGACACUGAGGCUCGAAAGCGUGGGUAGCAAACAGG